GGCGAGGGGAGUGAAAAAGAACCUGAAACCGUGUACGUACAAGCAGUGGGAGCACAGGUUUACCUGUGUGACUGCGUACCUUUUGUAUAAUGGGUCAGCGACUUAUAUUCUGUAGCAAGGUUAACCGUAUAGGGGAGCCGUAGGGAAACCGAGUCUUAACCGGGCGUUAAGUUGCAGGGUAUAGACCCGAAACCCGGUGAUCUAGCCAUGGGCAGGUUGAAGGUUGGGUAACACUAACUGGAGGACCGUACCGACUAAUGUUGAUAUAUUAGCGGAUGACCUGUGGCU
This 288-nucleotide ribosomal RNA is filed under the name Salmonella enterica subsp. enterica serovar Infantis. RNAcentral's name for it is "partial 23S ribosomal RNA". It matches the Rfam family "Bacterial large subunit ribosomal RNA", at positions 528 to 816 of the family's 2925-position model. Lineage: Bacteria; Pseudomonadati; Pseudomonadota; Gammaproteobacteria; Enterobacterales; Enterobacteriaceae. The record is from RNAcentral.